CAGCACCUCAAGUGGUCAGGAUGAUUAUUGGGCCUAAAGCAUCCGUAGCCGGCGCUGUAAGUUUUCGGUUAAAUCUGUACGCUCAACGUACAGGCUGCCGGGAAUACUGCAGCGCUAGGGAGUGGGAGAGGUAGACGGUACUCGGUAGGAAGGGGUAAAAUCCUUUGAUCUAUUGAUGACCACCUGUGGCGAAGGCGGUCUACUAGAACACGUCCGACGGUGAGGGAUGAAAGCUGGGGGAGCAAACCGGAUUAGAUACCCGAGUAGUCC
Molecule: ribosomal RNA, 270 nt
Filed under: uncultured archaeon
Lineage: Archaea
Description: partial 16S ribosomal RNA
Rfam family: Archaeal small subunit ribosomal RNA
Source: RNAcentral